This is a long non-coding RNA of Schistocerca gregaria, 328 nucleotides long. RefSeq lists it as uncharacterized. The transcript has 3 exons. The record is from RefSeq and is a predicted model, not a curated record. NCBI's taxonomy places the organism in Eukaryota, Metazoa, Arthropoda, Insecta, Orthoptera, Acrididae.
CGCAGCGGGCUGCUGCAGCUCUACACGGAUCGGCCGGGGCGUCCGCAGGCGUUGCAGCGGCUUCGUGCCAGCCUGAACGACCACAGGCCAAGCAUGCAGGAGUGGGAAAUGAUGAAGCGCCACGUGCACGAGCAGCGCAUGGAGAUAAAGAAUCUCGUGGCCGAGAGGAACCAGCUGCGUAAGAGGGUCGCCACCAUGGAGCUCUACUGGUUCCCCAAGCGCGAUGAGAAGCAGUCAAUGGCUGUUGAAGAUGCUGGCUAGUCGUCAUGCGCGGUGGCCAUAUUGGUGAUCUGCAUACAAGGAAUCGAACCUGUAAAUGACCGUUAUG